UCGAAUGUUAAGAGCCUGUCCGAGGACAUCGUCGACUAACGGCAACGUCAAGCGCCCGGCAACGUACUAGGUCCGUAAAUCCGAGCGAGACGAGCCUGCCGACGAGCCAGAACGCACUUAAUGCGGCUCAAUACCGUUGUACAGAUAUCUAUACCGCCGAGCAGUCGGCAGGUAANNNGUCUGACGCAAAAACGCUAUGAACGCUAAGCGACAGUCUUUCAAUCGGACCGUAGGCCAACACCCAACGGGUCGCGACGUCCUACUAGGGGAGAAGUGCACGACGACGGUGUUAGACAUACCGCAGCGACUGCGUGUUCCGUGACCGAAAUCCGAACCAUCGCGAGCCUCAAGGAAGCCAACAGCGUCAACGAUGAAUCUCCCCGUUCGAUCUUUUGGGUUUCUCAGGUUUU
Molecule: ribosomal RNA, 410 nt
Filed under: Herodotia subatriventris
Lineage: Eukaryota; Metazoa; Arthropoda; Insecta; Hymenoptera; Epichrysomallidae
Description: partial 28s rRNA
Source: RNAcentral